GGCUUGUAGCGAUUCGGAGGUGUACGACAGGUUAGCCCCGCUCAGAUCUGCUCUGCCAGGCUCAGAAAUUUCACGUUCUUUUAGUGAGCACCGCGAGUGAGUGAUAAAAUUUGGAUCGCGCAUUGUGGCAGAAUUUCGAGAAACAACAGAACAUUUUAAAUCGCACUUAAGUGAUUCGUGAAUCUUAAUUGACGCCUGGUCGUGAAUUGUCAUCGCGUUUUUGGCUUUGGCCAGUUCGGGAUCGUUUAUGGGAUCGUUAACGGAAAUGCAUUUAUUACGCUGGUCGCUGUGGACGUGGCUGCUGCUCCUUGGCGCAGUGGGAAUGGAUGCGUCUGUUGACUACUUCGCCUAUGCUCCCGGCAAGUGCGAGUUGUCCAUUUCGAAUGUGAUCCAGGACAUGAUUACCACUGAGGCUGGCCUUAUCCUCGGAAGGCCACGUCCCUCGCAAACAAAGCUGUUGCGAUACGAUCUUUAUACGCCCCUGAAUCCCGAGGAGCGUCAAUUACUGCGACCAGGCGAUCUGACCAUGCUAAGGAACUCGCAUUUCAACCCCAAAUGGCCAGUUAGGGUUUCCAUUCAUGGAUGGGCGGGAAAGAGUGUCACCUGCUCGAAUGCCGCCAUCAAGGAUGCCUACCUAUCCCGGGGCAAUUACAACGUAAUAAUUCUGGACUGGAGUCGCCAGGCGUUGGACAUCAGCUAUCCACGUGUGUCAAAGCAGCUCCCAUCGAUAGCUGGCAAUGUGGCCAAAUUGCUAAGGUUUCUCCAUGACAACACAGGAGUACCCUACGAGCAAAUCUAUUUGAUUGGCCACAGCGCCGGGAGUCACAUCUCUGGAUUGACUGGCAAGCUGUUAAAGCCGCAGCGCUUGGGUGCCAUUUUUGCCCUGGAUCCCGCUGGCCUCACUCAACUCAGCCUGGGACCCGAGGACAGGCUGGAUGUCAACGAUGCCUUGUAUGUGGAGUCAAUUCACACGGAUCUAACGCUUCUCGGCAAUCCGAGUACCAAGCUCAGUCACGCCUCCUUCUUCGCCAACUGGGGCCUCGGGCAGCCACAUUGUCCCAACGCCACGGCCACGGAGUUCGAUUUUGUCUGCGACCACUUCGCGGCCAUGUUCUACUUUGCCGAGUCAGUCCGUCAGCCAAAAUCAUUUGCCGCCUUGCGCUGCAGCUCAGCGAAAUCGGUACUCUCGGCCACCUGCAACUGCAACGUCGGAGGCAGCGGAAAAUAUGCAGUCCAAACAUGCACCGGCAACGAGUUCAUGGGCGGUGAGCCGGCGGUCCCCAAAAGAGGUAUCUUUUAUCUGAGCACGCUGCCCCAGUCUCCGUACGGCUCCGGCGAUGGGCUGGUUCACGUCAAAAGACCCCGGCCGUCCACUGUUCGGGAGACGGCAAACCGACGCCCAUUUGGCUAGAUCUAGAUCGGAGCAAGCCAAGAUUGCUACAGACCAAAAAGUGAUUUUUUUUUUGUAUUUAAGUCUAGACUAAGCGAAGAAUCUAUCCUCCCAAAGAAUUCGAAUUAGGGAAACAUUAUUUAACACUUAACUAAUCAUUCGGUAUUUCUUUAAUAAAGUGGAUCACUCCGCAGGUUUAUGGAGGUAAUUAAACGCAGCCUAUUAUUAUUUGCCCUUCUUAAUUUUCAUCAACUAUUGAACGUGUUGAGUCAAUGUCAACUCUUCGGAUUAAACAGCCUAAGUACGCGGGAACGUGGUAUGGAAAGCCAACAUAGAGGGGAGAGAAGGCAGAAAGACAUCGGUCAAACUGGUUCAUCGACAGCCAAUUUCAGAAAAAAAUCAGCAAUUGAGAUGAAAUAUAUUUAAUAUACAUUUACGAAAACCUGUUGGACUAACUGCUGAC
RNAcentral lists this unclassified non-coding RNA (1853 nucleotides) under Drosophila yakuba. RNAcentral describes it as "GE24368". Lineage: Eukaryota; Metazoa; Arthropoda; Insecta; Diptera; Drosophilidae. The record is from RNAcentral.